UACGUAGGGAGCAAGCGUUGUCCGGAAUCAUUGGGCGUAAAGCGCGCGUAGGUGGCUUCGUAAGUCCGUUGUGAAAGUCAAAGGCUCAACCUUUGAAAGCCGAUGGAUACUGUCGGGCUUGAGUGCGGAAGAGGCGAGUGGAAUUCCUGGUGUAGCGGUGAAAUGCGCAGAUAUCAGGAGGAACACCAAUUGCGAAGGCAGCUCGCUGGGACGUUACUGACGCUGAGACGCGAAAGCGUGGGGAGCAAACAGG
Molecule: ribosomal RNA, 253 nt
Filed under: uncultured bacterium
Lineage: Bacteria
Description: partial 16S ribosomal RNA
Rfam family: Bacterial small subunit ribosomal RNA
Source: RNAcentral